GCCUGUCUAGCUCAGUCAUUAGGGUAUGUGACUCUUGAUUUCAAGGUCAUGAGUUCAAGCCCCAGGUCAGGCA
Molecule: transfer RNA, 73 nt
Filed under: Canis lupus familiaris (dog)
Lineage: Eukaryota; Metazoa; Chordata; Mammalia; Carnivora; Canidae
Also listed under: 2 other names
Rfam family: tRNA
About the family: Transfer RNA (tRNA) molecules are approximately 80 nucleotides in length. Their secondary structure includes four short double-helical elements and three loops (D, anti-codon, and T loops).
Source: Rfam by way of RNAcentral